RNAcentral lists this ribosomal RNA (389 nucleotides) under Dinophyceae sp. Its description in RNAcentral is "partial small subunit ribosomal RNA". It matches the Rfam family "Eukaryotic small subunit ribosomal RNA", at positions 582 to 975 of the family's 1831-position model. Lineage: Eukaryota; Dinophyceae. The record is from RNAcentral.
AUUCCAGCUCCAAUAGCGUAUAUUAAAGUUGUUGCGGUUAAAAAGCUCGUAGUUGGAUUUCUGCCGAGGAUGACCGGUCCGCCCUGUGGGUGUGCAUCUGGCUCAGCCUUGGCAUCUUCCUGAAGAACGUAGCUGCACUUGACUGUGUGGUGCGGUAUUUAGGACAUUUACUUUGAGGAAAUUAGAGUGUUUCAAGCAAGCGCACGCUUUGAAUACAUUAGCAUGGAAUAAUAAGAUAGGACCUCGGUUCUAUUUUGUUGGUUUCUAGAGCUGAGGUAAUGACUGAUAGGGAUAGUUGGGGGUAUUCAUAUUUACAUGUCAGAGGUGAAAUUCUUGGAUUUUGGAAAGAUGAACUACUGCGAAGGCAUUUACCAAGGAUGUUUUCAUUG